UACAGAGGUCCCGAGCGUUGUUCGGAUUCACUGGGCGUAAAGGGUGCGCAGGUGGGUUGGCAAGUUUGAUGUGAAAGCCCCGGGCUUAACCCGGGAAUGGCAUUGAAUACUGCUGAUCUGGAGGAUCGGAGGGGGGACUGGAAUUCUUGGUGUAGCAGUGAAAUGCGUAGAUAUCAAGAGGAACACCAGUGGCGAAGGCGAGUCCCUGGACGAUACCUGACACUGGGCGACGAAAGCCGGGGGAGCAAACAGG
This 253-nucleotide ribosomal RNA is filed under the name uncultured bacterium. RNAcentral describes it as "partial 16S ribosomal RNA". It matches the Rfam family "Bacterial small subunit ribosomal RNA", at positions 524 to 776 of the family's 1533-position model. The record is from RNAcentral.